GAACAUGGUUUCUGGAGCAUUCAACCAACUGUGGCUCACUCUUUGGUUCUGACGCUUGCUAGCAAGCCAAACUUGGGCAACCCAAGUCUCCAUUUCCUCGUCUGUGAAGUAGCAUAAUGAUACCUACUCCAUAGGUGAUUCACAGAACGAAGUGAACUAAAGUUGAAAACUUUUGGUGAAACUACUAGCAGCAUUUGAAAGUUAAUCAGGAUAACCUAAAUUGGUAAUAAGAGAAAAGAUCUUUCUCUAAUAUUUGUGUUCUUUGGUUUGUACAUAUCCUAUGGGGAGAGUGAAAAUGAGCAAAAACUCCCUGGAAAGCUUAGCAAAUCAGCAAAAGACAAUACAAACUUUAAAAACCACACUUACCUAUGAAGGACUAGUUUUAUUUUAUUUUAUUUGAUCGAACUCGGGUCCUUGCGUUUGCAAGGCAGGCCACUGAACCACUGAGCUAAAUGCCCAGCUGGACUAGUUUUAGAAUAUGCAACUUACAAGCUUUAAAACUUAUAAGCUUUGUUAAACUUCAUGCAUUAGUUUUCCAUCACUGUGACAAAACACCUGAGAUAAGCAACCAAUGCAAAGGAAAGGUUUAUUGUGUUUUAUUGCUUCAGAGAUGUCAGUCUGUGGUCACUUGUCCCUGUUGCUUUGAACACAGCACAACGUGGCUGGGACUUGUGGCAGUAGAGAUUGGUUCAACUGCUGGAGGCCAAGAAGGAAAAUGAGAGUGAAAGCGAGAGAAUGAAAGUGAGAGAGCUGCUCCCGACCCAGCCGCCAUCACUCAAGCACCUGGAGAGGUCUCCAUCCGCAAGAUCUUCAGGAAAGACCUUCAGGCAGCGUCGGUCCUGUGCCUGGUAUCCUCCAGGGAACAUGGGAGGAGUCUGUUCUAGAGGGGGCAGCACCAAUUCUCAGGGGGCCACUGUGACAUCACAGCAGGUACCAAGGCUGGCGCCCAGGUGUUACCUCGAGACUCAGGCUUCAUUGAUGUGUUUUCAACAGAGCUACUGCUCCGUUGGCCACCAAAGGUGGCCAUGGUAUCCGGAGUUCCACCAAGUUGCCCACCUCUUCUUCUUCUCAGUGAUCACAACUCAUGCAGUGAUGGUUAAUCAAGAUGAAAAGAGCAGAGGCAAUAAAUUAAUUUUAUAAUAGCAAUGUUCUUUAAUUGGCCUCCACUUAGCUGAUUCACGAGACAUGAUAAAAUAGACUGGGUUUCGCCCCCAAACCCCAAAUCUUUGCUGCUCCUAAGUUACUCUUUGGAUGGUCUCUGAACUUUAACCAGUUUGAGGACCUGAGAAAACAAGAGUCAGAUAUGUCUGUAACCACUUCCUCUUCCUGCCAGCUUUAUUUGAUAUUUUAAAGAUG
This 1356-nucleotide long non-coding RNA is filed under the name Fukomys damarensis (Damara mole-rat). RNAcentral describes it as "lncRNA (ENSFDAG00000025100.1)". Lineage: Eukaryota; Metazoa; Chordata; Mammalia; Rodentia; Bathyergidae. The record is from RNAcentral.